AUAAUCAAAGAUCAAGGACUUAACCACAAGACAACUGUGAUGCCUCAGGUCAAAGGACUACUUUGCAUUAUCCCAACCAUGAGUUCUCAUGUGACAUGAGUAUGAGAACUCUUCGUUGAUCGCAUUCAGUGAACUCAUUCUCUACUGAGCACCUACGUACUUGUCUUGAUGUCACACACACCAAUGACUCGAGCUAGUCACUCUCCUUGAGAGAAGACAUAGCACGUACCGAUCUUGACGGACUGUCAAUGCCCAA
This 256-nucleotide long non-coding RNA is filed under the name Malus domestica (apple). RNAcentral's name for it is "long non-coding RNA (MDOM_LNC019577)". Lineage: Eukaryota; Viridiplantae; Streptophyta; Magnoliopsida; Rosales; Rosaceae. The record is from RNAcentral.